This 29-nucleotide small RNA is filed under the name Bombyx mori (domestic silkworm). RNAcentral describes it as "ovarian small RNA-22754". The record is from RNAcentral. Lineage: Eukaryota; Metazoa; Arthropoda; Insecta; Lepidoptera; Bombycidae.
UAGGUAUGUUGAUUAGAGGCAGCUGCCGG